RNAcentral lists this ribosomal RNA (433 nucleotides) under uncultured bacterium. RNAcentral's name for it is "partial 16S ribosomal RNA". It matches the Rfam family "Bacterial small subunit ribosomal RNA", at positions 29 to 507 of the family's 1533-position model. The record is from RNAcentral.
AACGAACCCUGGCGGCAUGCCUAACACAUGCAAGUCGAACGAGACCUUCGGGUCUAGUGGCGCACGGGUGCGUAACGCGUGGGAACCUGCCCUUAGGUUCGGAAUAACUCCCCGAAAGGGGCGCUAAUACCGGAUAAUGUCUUCGGACCAAAGAUUUAUCGCCUUUGGAUGGGCCCGCGUUGGAUUAGCUAGUUGGUAGGGUAAAAGCCUACCAAGGCGACGAUCCAUAGCUGGUCUGAGAGGAUGAUCAGCCACACUGGGACUGAGACACGGCCCAGACUCCUACGGGAGGCAGCAGUGGGGAAUAUUGGACAAUGGGCGAAAGCCUGAUCCAGCAAUGCCGCGUGAGUGAUGAAGGCCUUAGGGUUGUAAAGCUCUUUUACCCGGGAUGAUAAUGACAGUACCGGGAGAAUAAGCUCCGGCUAACUCCGUG